Non-coding RNA from Oryza sativa Japonica Group (Japanese rice), 640 nucleotides. Lineage: Eukaryota; Viridiplantae; Streptophyta; Magnoliopsida; Poales; Poaceae. The record is from RefSeq and is a predicted model, not a curated record.
CUGCUAUGCUCCUUUCAAAAAAAAUCCACAAAAUCCCAAAACCCCAUUGUCCCUCCCUAUUCCACCCGAUGGCUAGGGUUGCAAUGGAGAGGUCAGCUGGAGAUGGCAAGGAAGCGGUGGGAGACGGCAUGGUAGAGGCGGGAGGGGUGAAGUGUGGAUUCAACGCUUUGGACCAUAUAUAGUGGCCUCUGGCAGCUCAUUGUCGUCUUGUGGUCGUCGAAAGAGAUUAGUACUACUAUUGGUGAAGUUCCACUCAUGCAUGGAGAAGACCAUCAUGCUGCGCAUAGCGCAGAAGAUUGUUAAUUGGGGCCCCAUUUUCUACGAUUGCCCUGACCACGAGAAAGAUGGAUCUGGCUGUGACUUUUGGUGUUGAGAGGAAGGCUAAUCAAAUAUCUGAAGAGGAAUGGCUUGAUUGGUGAAGAAGAUGUUCCGAAAGAGAACGAUGCAGCAAGGUUGGAGCAAGCUGCAUAUCCAAAACGUGAUGAUGAACUGAAGAAGACAUUAAAACUUGUAGCGUGCACUGGGGGAGAAUUAGCAGUGACACUGAAAGGAAUUCUAUUAGUAGGUUGUUUAGGUGAUGCUAGUUUAGUUUGUAUUUUUGCAAUCAUUAUGAUGAAGUGAUGUUCAAAUUGAAUGGAAA